AAAAAAUAAAGUUAAAUGGAAGAAAAAAAACAUAUUGAAAUAUAAUAUUAAAAAAUAAAGAAAAGGUUCCCAGCGUGAGUUGAAAAGAGGUGUUUGUGAAAUAAAUUGUCGAGAAGUAGUUUUUUAAAGUAACAUUCAACAGCUUCUGGUCAAAGCUCAUUCCAUUCAAUUUUAUGCGUUCAAAAAAUGUUCUUUUUUUAGUAAGUACUUAAUUGAUAUUGUGUUUGGCCUAACUUCUCCUUAAAAAUGUAGAGAAGUUUGAAAAAAGUCGGGUCAAACGAUACCUUAAUCUCCCACAACGGCAAUGUAGAAGCAACUGAAUUUGGG
Molecule: long non-coding RNA, 327 nt
Filed under: Medicago truncatula (barrel medic)
Lineage: Eukaryota; Viridiplantae; Streptophyta; Magnoliopsida; Fabales; Fabaceae
Description: long non-coding RNA (MTRU_LNC002187)
Source: RNAcentral